Molecule: small RNA, 760 nt
Filed under: Vigna angularis var. angularis
Lineage: Eukaryota; Viridiplantae; Streptophyta; Magnoliopsida; Fabales; Fabaceae
Description: Non-protein coding transcript
Rfam family: Small nucleolar RNA J33 (bases 441-521)
Source: RNAcentral
UGCAAAACCAGCUGUAUUAUUCCCUCCUGUAGUUACAGCACAAUGGGACGAACAGAUUAGACGUCUUUAUUUACUUUUGACGGUGAAGGAAUCUGCCAUUGAGGUUCCAACAAAUCUUGAAGCACGCAGAAGGAUUGCAUUCUUCACCAAUUCAUUGUUCAUGGAUAUGCCACGUGCUCCACGAGUCCGAAAAAUGCUAUCCUUCAGUGUCUUAACUCCAUACUACAGUGAAGAGACUGUCUACUCGAAGAAUGAUCUUGAGGUUGAAAAUGAAGAUGGCGUGUCAAUCAUAUAUUACCUGCAAAAGAUCUACCCUGAUGAGUGGAACAACUUCAUGGAACGUCUUGGUUGUAAGAAAGAUAGUGAGAUAUGGGAGAAAGAUGAACACAUAUUACAGCUACGUCACUGGGCCUCGUUACGAGGACAAACUCUUAGCAGGACAGUUAGGGGAAUGAUGUACUACCGGCGGGCUAUUAAGCUUCAGGCUUUUCUUGAUAUGGCAAAUGAAAAGGAGAUACUUGAUGGCUAUAAAGCUGUUACUGUCCCGUCCGAGGAAGAUAGAAGGAGCCAUAGGUCCUUAUAUGCUAGUUUAGAGGCCGUUGCAGACAUGAAAUUUACAUACGUCGCAACCUGUCAGAACUAUGGGAAUCAGAAGCGUAAUGGAGAUCGCCGUGCGACAGACAUUCUGAAUUUGAUGGUUAACAAUCCCUCACUUCGUGUGGCUUAUAUUGAUGAAGUUGAAGAAAGAGAGGGAGGGAGA